RNAcentral lists this ribosomal RNA (400 nucleotides) under uncultured bacterium. RNAcentral describes it as "bacterial SSU rRNA". It matches the Rfam family "Bacterial small subunit ribosomal RNA", at positions 43 to 445 of the family's 1533-position model. The record is from RNAcentral.
CAGGCCUAACACAUGCAAGUCGAGCGGAGAUGAGGUGCUUGCACCUUAUCUUAGCGGCGGACGGGUGAGUAAUACUUAGGAAUCUGCCUAUUAGUGGGGGACAACAUUUCGAAAGGGAUGCUAAUACCGCAUACGCCCUACGGGGGAAAGCAGGGGAUCAUUUGACCUUGCGCUAAUAGAUGAGCCUAAGUCGGAUUAGCUAGUUGGUGGGGUAAAGGCCUACCAAGGCGACGAUCUGUAGCGGGUCUGAGAGGAUGAUCCGCCACACUGGGACUGAGACACGGCCCAGACUCCUACGGGAGGCAGCAGUGGGGAAUAUUGGACAAUGGGGGGAACCCUGAUCCAGCCAUGCCGCGUGUGUGAAGAAGGCCUUUUGGUUGUAAAGCACUUUAAGCGAGGA